This 462-nucleotide ribosomal RNA is filed under the name Theileria ovis. Its description in RNAcentral is "SSU rRNA". It matches the Rfam family "Eukaryotic small subunit ribosomal RNA", at positions 486 to 984 of the family's 1831-position model. The record is from RNAcentral. Lineage: Eukaryota; Apicomplexa; Aconoidasida; Piroplasmida; Theileriidae.
CGGGGCUUAAUGUCUUGUAAUUGGAAUGAUGGGAAUUUAAACCUCUUCCAGAGUAUCAAUUGGAGGGCAAGUCUGGUGCCAGCAGCCGCGGUAAUUCCAGCUCCAAUAGCGUAUAUUAAAAUUGUUGCAGUUAAAAAGCUCGUAGUUGAAUUUCUGCUGCAUUGCUUUUGCUCCUUUACGAGUCUUUGCAUUGUGGCUUAUUUCGGACUUUGUUUUACAAUGUCCGGAUGUUUACUUUGAGAAAAUUAGAGUGCUCAAAGCAGGCUUUCGCCUUGAAUAGUUUAGCAUGGAAUAAUAAAGUAGGACUUUGGUUCUAUUUUGUUGGUUUUAGGUACCAAAGUAAUGGUUAAUAGGAACAGUUGGGGGCAUUCGUAUUUAACUGUCAGAGGUGAAAUUCUUAGAUUUGUUAAAGACGAACUACUGCGAAAGCAUUUGCCAAGGAUGUUUUCAUUAAUCAAGAAC